This 805-nucleotide ribosomal RNA is filed under the name uncultured bacterium. RNAcentral describes it as "bacterial SSU rRNA". It matches the Rfam family "Bacterial small subunit ribosomal RNA", at positions 622 to 1428 of the family's 1533-position model. The record is from RNAcentral.
UGCGUUNUGAACUGGGUGACUAGAGUGUGUCAGAGGGAGGUAGAAUUCCACGUGUAGCAGUGAAAUGCGUAGAGAUGUGGAGGAAUACCGAUGGCGAAGGCAGCCUCCUGGGACAACACUGACGUUCAUGCCCGAAAGCGUGGGUAGCAAACAGGAUUAGAUACCCUGGUAGUCCACGCCCUAAACGAUGUCGAUUAGCUGUUGGGCAGCAUGACUGCUUAGUAGCGAAGCUAACGCGUGAAAUCGACCGCCUGGGGAGUACGGUCGCAAGAUUAAAACUCAAAGGAAUUGACGGGGACCCGCACAAGCGGUGGAUGAUGUGGAUUAAUUCGAUGCAACGCGAAGAACCUUACCUGGUCUUGACAUGUACGGAACCCUCCAGAGACGGAGGGGUGCCUUCGGGAGCCGUAACACAGGUGCUGCAUGGCUGUCGUCAGCUCGUGUCGUGAGAUGUUGGGUUAAGUCCCGCAACGAGCGCAACCCUUGUCAUUAGUUGCCAUCAUUAAGUUGGGCACUCUAAUGAGACUGCCGGUGACAAGCCGGAGGAAGGUGGGGAUGACGUCAAGUCCUCAUGGCCCUUAUGACCAGGGCUUCACACGUCAUACAAUGGUCGGUACAGAGGGUAGCCAAGCCGCGAGGUGGAGCCAAUCUCACAAAACCGAUCGUAGUCCGGAUCGCACUCUGCAACUCGAGUGCAUGAAGUCGGAAUCGCUAGUAAUCGCAGGUCAGCAUACUGCGGUGAAUACGUUCCCGGGUCUUGUACACACCGCCCGUCACACCAUGGGAGUGGGGGAUACCAGAAGUA